Long non-coding RNA from Dama dama (fallow deer), 2052 nucleotides. RefSeq lists it as uncharacterized. The transcript has 5 exons. Lineage: Eukaryota; Metazoa; Chordata; Mammalia; Artiodactyla; Cervidae. The record is from RefSeq and is a predicted model, not a curated record.
GCUGCCGCAGCCCGGCCGGCCGCCUCGGACCGGCCCAGAACGCAGCGGGGGGUUCGCACGGGGCGGGGCACCCCGCAGGCCGACCUCGCCGGCUCCAGCUUCAUCAACGCAGAGUGGCUCCCGCCCGCCCCGUCUCCGAAGAAGAUCACAGAGCCUCUGCGUGAGUCCCCGAUUCUCCCGUCUGGCGCUCUCACCUCGCCUCCUAUUUGAUCUCAGGGCGAUGGAGACUGGAAGGGGAACCCCUUCUAGGACCUGAGAGUGGGCUCAUGUCUAACACUCAGAGACAAACUGUCCGAGAAGACACAUGCUGACAAAGCAAGAGACUCUAUUGGGAAGCGGAGCCAGGGUAGAGAGCGCAGGAGAUUCUCUUCCAAGGUCUCCAAGCUCCCUUGCCUGGCUCUGGGGAGGAGGUCUCCGUUCUUCACACCUGGACCUCUGCACAGGACUGCUGGUGACGGGGAGGUGGCUUCCCCAGGAGGCUUCAGUAGCAGCAGCUCACGGGCCCCAGAGCUCGGGCUCAGUGGUGCUGGGGCUUAGUUGCCCUGGGGCAUGUGGAAUCUUUCCCAACCAGGGAUGGAACUUGUGUCCCCUGCAUUGGCAGGUGAAUUCUUCACCGCUGGACCAGGAGAGAAGUCUGUGUAGUACAGUGGAGUGUUCCAGAGGCCACGUAACAUGUAGUGUGACCACAGACCGAACAUAGAAGCGUUUAAGAGAAGCAGCAGUUUGUAUUAAGCAGAUAGUGAAGAAAUUUACCAAAUUGUGAAACAAGGCAUCUCCUCUCCUUACUUAUUUUUGUUUUGGAAAGUAUAAUUAUCUUCCAUUAAAAUGUGUAUAUUUUUAUACUCAAUGAGAUGAUUAUUUUUAAAUGAAUUAAUGAAAAGAUUGAAGUGUUCUCGGUUUUACUUUCUGAUACAGUAAUUAUCGAUAGUGAGAACUCUCACUUCUCUAUGGUGUAAGAGGGCUUUGAGAAGAGCUGGCCUCCAGCAGCCUGACUCUCCAGCUUCAUGGCCAGUGAUUUCCUCUCCUCCCUCAUACUUUUCACAUGAACGUCCAGCUCCAGCCAAGAUGAAGCAAAUCCACUUUCUCCCUUUUCCUCUGGUUAAGUGCUUCCUAAAAUCCUGAACAUCACAGAUACAACCAACAUCUGAAAGGUAAAGCAAAGGCUAGGGACCUCAGGACUCAAGGAGUGACACGUCACCAAGGUGGUAUCAGCAGAGACCCAGACGGGCUGCUGAACUUCUGCUCUGGCCCAGCAAUAAUGAGACGCCCGCCACUCCGCAAGUGUGUCGACGGCUGAAUGGAGACCCUGGACUUUAACCCCCACCUGGGUAACCAGGAAGUCACCUGCCGCCCCGCCCCGCCCGCCUCAGCAGAGCAGUAGGAAAGGGGCCCUGAUGAAACAGAUCAGUCUCACAACACAAUACGUGAAGUGUCCAAGAUGCAAUUUAAAAUCGUGCAUGAUGCCAAGAACCAGGAAAAUCUCAACUUGAAUGAGAAAAGAUAAUUAGCAGAUGCCAGCACGGAGAUGACAGAGAUGUUGGAAUUAUCUGACAAGGAUUUAAAAACAACCAUCAUAAACAUGCUUCACUGAGCAAUGAUAGCAUUGCUCAAUAACUUAAAAUAAAGGAUGACUUAAAGGAACAAAUAGAAAGUCUCAGCACAGAAAUAAAAGAUAGAAAGAAGGAUCAUAUCCUUUACUUGGGCCUUAAAAGUACCACUCGUGUUUCUGGGAUGACCACCCUCUCUUUGUGCCUGGGCCAAGGUGUCUGCCUCUUCUUAGAACACCCAUCUCUCCUUUUUAAAUCCUGCUUGUCCCUGGGGCCAGCUGAGAUGUCACCUCCUCUGCGAAGCAUUCCUUGCCUUCCUUGCCCCUUCCCCCUGAAAGCUCCCUACACCAUAGCACUCACACUCGACUCCAGUUAUUCUGUCAUCUCUCCCUCCGCACCUGCCCGGUGUAAAAACUUUCCAGAGGGCCUGUGUCUUAUCGCAGGUGCCUGGCACAGUACCUGGCUUAAAAUAAGCACUCAGAAAGCUGUUGAAUAAAUGAAGAAA